AUUGAACGCUGGCGGUAUGCUUAACACUUGCAAGUCGAACGGCGGCACAGCAGAGCUUGCUCUGUGGGUGGCGAGUGGCGGACGGGUGAGUAAUACAUCGGGACCUACCCAGACGUGGGGGAUAACGUAGGGAAACUUACGCUAAUACCGCAUACGUCCUACGGGAGAAAGCAGGGGAUCUUCGGACCUUGCGCGGUUGGACGGACCGAUGUUCGAUUAGCUUGUUGGUGAGGUAAUGGCUCACCAAGGCGACGAUCGAUAGCUGGUCUGAGAGGAUGAUCAGCCACACUGGGACUGAGACACGGCCCAGACUCCUACGGGAGGCAGCAGUGGGGAAUAUUGGACAAUGGGCGCAAGCCUGAUCCAGCAAUACCGCGUGUGUGAAGAAGGCCUUCGGGUUGUAAAGCACUUUUAUCAGGAACGAAACGCUGUCGGUUAAUACCCGGCGGAACUGACGGUACCUGAGGAAUAAGCACCGGCUAACUUCGUGCCAGCCGCCGCAGUAA
Molecule: ribosomal RNA, 506 nt
Filed under: uncultured bacterium
Lineage: Bacteria
Description: partial 16S ribosomal RNA
Rfam family: Bacterial small subunit ribosomal RNA
Source: RNAcentral